Molecule: ribosomal RNA, 226 nt
Filed under: uncultured bacterium
Lineage: Bacteria
Description: partial 16S ribosomal RNA
Rfam family: Bacterial small subunit ribosomal RNA
Source: RNAcentral
GCGUUGCUCGGAAUGACUGGGCGUAAAGGGCGCGUAGGCGGAUGCAUUUGUCGGGCGUGAAAUUCCAGGGCUCAACCUUGGGACUGCGUUCGAGACGGUGUGUCUAGAGUUUGGCAGAGGGUCGUGGAAUUCCCAGUGUAGAGGUGAAAUGCGUAGAUAUUGGGAAGAACACCGGUGGCGAAGGCGGCGACCUGGUCCUUGACUGACGCUGAUGCGCGAAAGCGUG